RNAcentral lists this long non-coding RNA (375 nucleotides) under Equus asinus (donkey). RNAcentral describes it as "lncRNA (ENSEASG00005037029.1)". Lineage: Eukaryota; Metazoa; Chordata; Mammalia; Perissodactyla; Equidae. The record is from RNAcentral.
GGUAGGUUUAAGUGACUGGGUGAUCAGUGUUAGAUGAAGGUAGAAAUGGAGUUAGAUGGAAAUGUGGAGAUUUUGAAAAAAGAAGAAAGAGGAAGAGAAGGAGGAGGAAGAGGAGAAGCAGCAGCAUUCAUAAAAGGAGCAGAGAUGCUUGCCCUCGAAACCCAGCCACUUUACGGUGAGGAAGGCCAAACUAGGCCAUGUGGAGAGACCACAUGAAGAGGCCCACGUGUAGAGGAACUGAGGCCCCCAACCACAGCCAGCAUCAAUCGUCAGACACAAUUUUUAAGCAGAUGGGAAUUUCUGUUUGGGAUCAGCAUCGUGACAUGAUCCAGUUCUGCAUUGCUUUCUGACAGUGAUAAGGAGACAGUUUGCCAG